GAUGCCGUAAGGGUAGCGAAGCUGCUCGUAGUAUUCCUGUUCCGCCCCGUUCUCCCGUACGUCGCUGUCGCGGUCGCGAUAGUCCAGCAGGCAAUCGACCAACUCGUCGGUCAUCACGGGAAGCCCACCCAGCGUGUCGCGGUCGGCGGUGUUGAUGUUGAUCUUGCCGGCCUGGU
RNAcentral lists this ribosomal RNA (176 nucleotides) under uncultured eukaryote. Its description in RNAcentral is "partial small subunit ribosomal RNA". The record is from RNAcentral.